GUUGUAAUUUGCAGAGGGCGCUUUGGCAUUGGCAGCGGUCCAAGUUCCUUGGAACAGGACGUCACAGAGGGUGAGAAUCCCGUACGUGGUCGCUAGCCUCUACCGUGUAAAGCCCCUUCGACGAGUCGAGUUGUUUGGGAAUGCAGCUCUAAAUGGGAGGUAAAUUUCUUCUAAAGCUAAAUACUGGCCAGAGACCGAUAGCGCACAAGUAGAGUGAUCGAAAGAUGAAAAGCACUUUGGAAAGAGAGUUAAAAAGCACGUGAAAUUGUUGAAAGGGAAGCGCUUGCAGCCAGACUUGCCUGUAGUUGCUCAUCCGGGUUUCUACCCGGUGCACUCUUCUAUAGGCAGGCCAGCAUCAGUUUGGGCGGUUGGAUAAAGGUCUCUGUCAUGUACCUCCUUUCGGGGAGAACUUAUAGGGGAGACGACAUGCAACCAGCCUGGACUGAGGUCCGCGCAUCUGCUAGGAUGCUGGCGUAAUGGCUGUAAGCGGCCCGUCUUGAAACACGGACCAAGGAGUCUAACAUCUAUGCGAGUGUUUGGGUGUCAAGCCCGAGCGCGUAAUGAAAGUGAACGGAGGUGGGAACCUUUCGGGGUGCACCAUCGACCGAUCCUGAUGUCUUCGGAUGGAUUUGAGUAAGAGCAUAGCUGUUGGGACCCGAAAGA
RNAcentral lists this ribosomal RNA (663 nucleotides) under Allophoma brasiliensis. Its description in RNAcentral is "partial large subunit ribosomal RNA". It matches the Rfam family "Eukaryotic large subunit ribosomal RNA", at positions 142 to 823 of the family's 3401-position model. Lineage: Eukaryota; Fungi; Ascomycota; Dothideomycetes; Pleosporales; Didymellaceae. The record is from RNAcentral.